ACAAUCCGGAUCACCGUCGAAGUCCAUGACAAGCUCCUUUUCUUCCCCCUCUGUUUUGGAUUUUUGGGUUUGAUUUGUUAGCUUUCCCAGAUUUGGGUUUGAGAAAUUGAACACAAAAGUAACAGAGAUUGAUGAAGAAAUGGAGAUGGGCAGUUACAAAAACAU
Camellia sinensis is the source of this 165-nucleotide non-coding RNA. NCBI's taxonomy places the organism in Eukaryota, Viridiplantae, Streptophyta, Magnoliopsida, Ericales, Theaceae. The record is from RefSeq and is a predicted model, not a curated record.